UUGAAUUCAUUUUUGUCCCAUUGGGACAUUAAUUUUUUUGGAUGAUAAUGUCCAUUAACUUGGAAUUAAGGAAGAUGAUGCUCUUUUCUAUUUGAUAUUUUUUAUCGAUGAAUGUAUGGCGGUAUUCAAUAGAAGAGAGAGGUAGUCUUUAGCAUGAUGACCUCUAGAGAAGAGGAUUUUGGAGUUGAAGCAUGUUGAAGAUUUGGAUUGCUAGAUUUCUACCUUUAUAUUGAUGGAUAAACCAACUUCUAGAUUUGAGGUCAGAUAUUUUAGAAUUAGGCAAUGGAAAGGCAUUGAAGCGGAUGAGUUUAGAUUCCUUGUGAGCGUAUGGGAUUGAUUACAGGAGAUGGCUGAAGAGUUUUGUUUUUCUUUACUCUCAUUUGAAAUUUUCAACAAAGCUUGCUUUUCAAGGAUUCGUAUACUGUUAUGAACGAGAAUGUAGGAUCAAAUCCACGGGUGGAUCAGGAUUUUGUAAUGUCUGAAUUAAGUUAAAUGU
Molecule: long non-coding RNA, 496 nt
Filed under: Gossypium raimondii (Peruvian cotton)
Lineage: Eukaryota; Viridiplantae; Streptophyta; Magnoliopsida; Malvales; Malvaceae
Description: long non-coding RNA (GRAI_LNC003146)
Source: RNAcentral